GGACGGUAAAUAAGGAGGAAGCCCCGGCUAACUACGUGCCAGCAGCCGCGGUAAUACGUAGGGGGCGAGCGUUGUCCGGAAUCACUGGGCGUAAAGGGCGCGUAGGCGGUUUAAUAAGUCAGUGGUGAAAACUGGGGGCUCAACUCCCAGCCUGCCACUGAUACUGUUAGACUUGAGUAUGGAAGAGGAGAAUGGAAUUCCAUGUGUAGCGGUGAAAUGCGUAGAUAUAUGGAGGAACACCGGUGGCGAAAGCGGCUCUCUGGUCUGUAACUGACGCUGAGGCGCGAAAGCGUGGGUAGCAAACAGGAUUAGAUACCCUG
Molecule: ribosomal RNA, 320 nt
Filed under: uncultured bacterium
Lineage: Bacteria
Description: bacterial SSU rRNA
Rfam family: Bacterial small subunit ribosomal RNA
Source: RNAcentral